RNAcentral lists this unclassified non-coding RNA (293 nucleotides) under Polyporales sp. Its description in RNAcentral is "partial contains 5.8S ribosomal RNA, internal transcribed spacer 2, and large subunit ribosomal RNA". The record is from RNAcentral. Lineage: Eukaryota; Fungi; Basidiomycota; Agaricomycetes; Polyporales.
CGCACCUUGCGCUCCCUGGUAUUCCGGGGAGCACGCCCGUUUGAGUGUCAUGGUAUUCUCACCCUUUAUUACUUUUGUGAUUAAAGGCGUGGAUGUGGAGGUCGUGCUGGCUCUCGCGAGUCAGCUCCUCUGAAAUGCAUUAGCGUGAACGUUUACGGAUCGCUAUCAGUGUGAUAAUUAUCUGCGCUGUUAGUGUUGAAGUAUGUUUAGUGUCGCGCUUCUAACCGUCCUUCAGUUGGACAACUUAUCAGACAUCUGGCCUCAAAUCGGGCGGGACUACCCGCUGAACUUAA